RNAcentral lists this ribosomal RNA (465 nucleotides) under Vreelandella stevensii. RNAcentral's name for it is "partial 16S ribosomal RNA". It matches the Rfam family "Bacterial small subunit ribosomal RNA", at positions 338 to 795 of the family's 1533-position model. Lineage: Bacteria; Pseudomonadati; Pseudomonadota; Gammaproteobacteria; Oceanospirillales; Halomonadaceae. The record is from RNAcentral.
CCUACGGGAGGCAGCAGUGGGGAAUAUUGGACAAUGGGCGAAAGCCUGAUCCAGCCAUGCCGCGUGUGUGAAGAAGGCCUUCGGGUUGUAAAGCACUUUCAGUGGGGAAGAAAGCCUUGGGGCUAAUACCCUCGAGGAAGGACAUCACCCACAGAAGAAGCACCGGCUAACUCCGUGCCAGCAGCCGCGGUAAUACGGAGGGUGCGAGCGUUAAUCGGAAUUACUGGGCGUAAAGCGCGCGUAGGCGGUCUGAUAAGCCGGUUGUGAAAGCCCCGGGCUCAACCUGGGAACGGCAUCCGGAACUGUCAGGCUAGAGUGCAGGAGAGGAAGGUAGAAUUCCCGGUGGAGCGGUGAAAUGCGUAGAGAUCGGGAGGAAUACCAGUGGCGAAGGCGGCCUUCUGGACUGACACUGACGCUGAGGUGCGAAAGCGUGGGUAGCAAACAGGAUUAGAUACCCUAGUAGUC